UCAUUCUCCUCAUAAUGUCCUGUAUUGUGAUGAUUCAGUCAGUUAUCUUAAAGACUAGCACAAAUGUAACAUUCAUGCUCAUUUAAAGUUUUUAAAAAGGAUGGAAUCCAUACCAGUGACUGUAACCAGGGAUCAUAUAGGAGUUACUUUCAAAUAUGCAACUAAAACCUUGAAACCUCCUGUUAAACAAAUCCACAUAGAAGCUCCUCCAUGGAUCUGGCAGCUACCCUAGAUAUCUGAGGUUCUAUCAGUCCAAAGACCAAACCUCAGCUGUAUGCUCUAUUAAAGUCUCAGCACCUCAAGAUUCAAUUCUUGGUCUGGUUCUGUUAUCAGCUCAGCACGUUAUUCCUGGUUUCUGCUUGGUCAGAAGUGCUACAGAGAAGCUCCUGAAACAGACUUCUGUAACAUCUGCAAAUGUUCAUGUUUUCAUCACAAUAGGAGGUUCUUAGCCAUUUUCAGGAUGUCCAUAAUUAAAAAUAAAAGGGUAGGACUUGUAAAAUGAAAGGUAAAAUCAUAGGACUGUAUAAUAGUAUAUAUUUUAUUGUCUGUUAAAAUACAAUAGCAGAACACUUUGACAGAUAUGAAGAUGUUGUGCUGUAUAAAAACGUAGUUCACUAAGCUACAAGUUUCUCCACUUGCUACAGGUUGCCCUUUUAAAACAUGAUCUGUAAACACUGACUCUACAGAAAACAGAUCUGUUGUGCCGACUUGAAAGAGCGCAAACAGGAAAUACAUUAUUCGAUGGAUAACAUAAGGCUAUGUCAGAAGAUUAAAUGCUAGAGGGUUUAUCAAUAAAAGGAUUGGGAAAUGCUGGGAAAUGUAGUUAAACCAAUUUUUAUGCUGUGUGUAGAAACACUACUGACCAUCAUUAUCUCAGACAGUCUCUCCUCAAAGGUGAUCAAAAUUUCUGCUGAUACUGGACAAAUACUGUAGAGGUCAGAGGUUUGAAUCUUUCUGCAUUUUUCUCAUCUGACCUUCUGCCUGGGAAGUGUGUUCAGAAAGAAAGCAUAAACCGUUUUAAGUGUUUACGUGAACCCCAAGGUGACUCUGGUUUGUGCUGGCAUAAUAGC
Molecule: long non-coding RNA, 1070 nt
Organism: Ictalurus punctatus (channel catfish)
Lineage: Eukaryota; Metazoa; Chordata; Actinopteri; Siluriformes; Ictaluridae
Source: Ensembl